UGAGGAAUAUUGGACAAUGGUCGGAAGACUGAUCCAGCCAUGCCGCGUGCAGGAAGACGGCCUUAUGGGUUGUAAACUGCUUUUGCAGGGGAAGAAUAAGGACUACGAGUAGUUUGAUGACGGUACUCUGCGAAUAAGCAUCGGCUAACUCCGUGCCAGCAGCCGCGGUAAUACGGAGGAUGCGAGCGUUAUCCGGAAUCAUUGGGUUUAAAGGGUCCGUAGGCGAGCUAAUAAGUCAGAGGUGAAAGCGCUCAGCUCAACUGAGCAACUGCCUUUGAAACUGUUAGUCUUGAAUGGUUGUGAAGUAGUUGGAAUGUGUAGUGUAGCGGUGAAAUGCUUAGAUAUUACACAGAACACCGAUAGCGAAGGCAUAUUACUAACAAUUAAUUGACGCUGAUGGACGAAAGCGUGGGGAGCGAACAGGAUUAGAUACCCUGGUAGUCCACGCUGUAAACGAUGGAUACUAGCUGUUUGGUUUUUAGGACUGAGUGGCUAAGCGAAAGUGAUAAGUAUCCCACCUGGGGAGUACGCACGCAAGUGUG
This 542-nucleotide ribosomal RNA is filed under the name uncultured bacterium. Its description in RNAcentral is "bacterial SSU rRNA". It matches the Rfam family "Bacterial small subunit ribosomal RNA", at positions 355 to 896 of the family's 1533-position model. The record is from RNAcentral.